AAUUCGAAGCAAACGCGCAGAACCUUACCAGCCCUUGACAUCCCGGUCGCGGAUCGCAGAGAUGCUUUCCUUCAGUUCGGCUGGACCGGUGACAGGUGCUGCAUGGCUGUCGUCAGCUCGUGUCGUGAGAUGUUGGGUUAAGUCCCGCAACGAGCGCAACCCCGCCUUCAGUUGCCAACGGUUCGGCCGUGCACUCUGGAGGAACUGCCUGUGACAAGCAGGAGGAAGGUGGGGAUGACGUCAAGUCCUCAUGGCCCUUAUGGGCUGGGCUACACACGUGCUACAAUGGCGGUGACAGAGGGAUGCAAUACCGCGAGGUGGAGCAAAUCCCUAAAAGCCGUCUCAGUUCGGAUUGUUCUCUGCAACUCGAGUGCAUGAAGUUGGAAUCGCUAGUAAUCGCAGAUCAGCACGCUGCGGUGAAUACGUUCCCGGGCCUU
This 437-nucleotide ribosomal RNA is filed under the name uncultured Alphaproteobacteria bacterium. RNAcentral describes it as "bacterial SSU rRNA". It matches the Rfam family "Bacterial small subunit ribosomal RNA", at positions 948 to 1382 of the family's 1533-position model. Lineage: Bacteria; Pseudomonadati; Pseudomonadota; Alphaproteobacteria. The record is from RNAcentral.